This 72-nucleotide transfer RNA is filed under the name Streptomyces sp. Its description in RNAcentral is "tRNA-Val". It matches the Rfam family "tRNA". From Rfam's summary of the family: Transfer RNA (tRNA) molecules are approximately 80 nucleotides in length. RNAcentral also lists the same sequence under 3 other names. The record is from RNAcentral. Lineage: Bacteria; Bacillati; Actinomycetota; Actinomycetes; Kitasatosporales; Streptomycetaceae.
GGGCGCGUAGCUCAGCGGAAGAGCACCCGCCUUACAAGCGGGGGGUCGCUGGUUCGAACCCAGCCGCGCCCA